This 377-nucleotide ribosomal RNA is filed under the name uncultured bacterium. RNAcentral describes it as "bacterial SSU rRNA". It matches the Rfam family "Bacterial small subunit ribosomal RNA", at positions 521 to 896 of the family's 1533-position model. The record is from RNAcentral.
UAAUACAGAGGGUGCGAGCGUUGUUCGGAAUCACUGGGCGUAAAGCGCGCGCAGGCGGGCGUGUAAGUCAGAAGUGAAAUUCCGGGGCUCAACCCCGGAGCUGCUCCUGAUACUGCACGUCUGGAGACCGGUAGAGGCUGGUGGAAUUCCCGGUGUAGCGGUGGAAUGCGUAGAGAUCGGGAAGAACACCCGUGGCGAAGGCGGCCAGCUGGGCCGGUUCUGACGCUGAGGCGCGAAAGCGUGGGGAGCAAACAGGAUUAGAUACCCUGGUAGUCCACGCUGUAAACGAUGGGCACUAGGUGCCGGGGGGAGCGACCCCUUCGGUGCCGCAGCUAACGCGUUAAGUGCCCCGCCUGGGGAGUACGGCCGCAAGGCUG